RNAcentral lists this ribosomal RNA (253 nucleotides) under uncultured bacterium. RNAcentral's name for it is "partial 16S ribosomal RNA". It matches the Rfam family "Bacterial small subunit ribosomal RNA", at positions 524 to 776 of the family's 1533-position model. The record is from RNAcentral.
GACAGGGGGUGCAAGCGUUGCUCGGAAUCACUGGGCGUAAAGCGCGCGUAGGCGGUCUCGUAAGUCGGGUGUGAAAGCCCUCAGCCUAACUGAGGAACUGCGCCCGAUACUGAGAGUCUCGAGUCCGGGAGAGGUGAGUGGAACUGCGAGUGUAGAGGUGAAAUUCGUAGAUAUUCGCAAGAACACCAGUGGCGAAGGCGGCUCACUGGCCCGGUACUGACGCUGAGGUGCGAAAGCGUGGGGAGCAAACAGG